This 377-nucleotide ribosomal RNA is filed under the name Fundulopanchax walkeri. Its description in RNAcentral is "partial 12S rRNA". It matches the Rfam family "Bacterial small subunit ribosomal RNA", at positions 836 to 1380 of the family's 1533-position model. The record is from RNAcentral. Lineage: Eukaryota; Metazoa; Chordata; Actinopteri; Cyprinodontiformes; Nothobranchiidae.
UGCAUAACCUUAAACUUUAAUAAAUACAUUACUCGCCAGGGUACUACGAGCAUAAGCUUGAAACCCAAAGGACUUGGCGGUGCUUUAGCCCCACCUAGAGGAGCCUGUUCUAUAACCGAUAACCCCCGUUAAACCUCACCUUUUCUUGUUCUCCCGCCUAUAUACCGCCGUCGUCAGCUUACCCUGUAAAGGUUAUUUAGUAAGCAAAAUUGAUACAAUCCAAAACGUCAGGUCGAGGUGUAGCAUAUGAAAAGGAAAGAAAUGGGCUACAUUUCCUACUUUAGGAUACAACGGAAAUUGAUAUGAAAUACACACAUUAAAGGAGGAUUUAGUAGUAAAUAAGGAACAGAGAGCCUUACUGAAGCUGGCCCUGAAGC